GACGAACGCUGGCGGCGUGCUUAACACAUGCAAGUCGAACGCGAAAGCCCUUCGGGGCGAGUAGAGUGGCGAACGGGUGAGUAACACGUGGGCAACCUGCCCUAGGGAGCGGGACAACCCGAGGAAACUCGGGCUAAUACCGCAUGAUUCGCAGGCACUCAAGUGCCGGCGGGAAAUGGUAGCUUCGGCCUCCGCCCUAGGAUGGGCCCGCGGCGCAUUAGCUUGUUGGUGAGGUAACGGCCCACCAAGGCGACGAUGCGUAGCUGGUCUGAGAGGACGAUCAGCCACACUGGGACUGAGACACGGCCCAGACUCCUACGGGAGGCAGCAGUGGGGAAUCUUGCGCAAUGGGCGGAAGCCUGACGCAGCAACGCCGCGUGUGGGAAGACGGCCUUCGGGUUGUAAACCACUUUCAGGGGGGACGAAGCUUCCAGGGUUAAUAGCCCAUGGGGUGACGGUACCCCCAGAAGAAGCCCCGGCUAACUACGUGCCAGCAGCCGCCGCGUAACAC
Molecule: ribosomal RNA, 511 nt
Filed under: uncultured bacterium
Lineage: Bacteria
Description: bacterial SSU rRNA
Rfam family: Bacterial small subunit ribosomal RNA
Source: RNAcentral